Molecule: long non-coding RNA, 1357 nt
Filed under: Sus scrofa (pig)
Lineage: Eukaryota; Metazoa; Chordata; Mammalia; Artiodactyla; Suidae
Description: lncRNA (ENSSSCG00030006390.1)
Source: RNAcentral
UGUUCUAGGUCAGUCAAUGGCAAGUCACUCUAAUGACGACCGUUUAGGAGGAGAUCCCUCUGUGACAUGGGGCUUUGGCUUCCGGGAGUUACCAGGGCCACAGCGGGAGCCAGGGAGCUGCAUUUGGGUUCAUUUCGCAGAGAAAGAGAGACGGUCAGAAGAGCAUUGACAAGAGAAAGUGAACUUUGGUCCCUGAUGCUCAACCAUCAACUCCUUAGUGUAGGAUGUUGGAGCUGGAAUGACCUGGCGUUCCUUCAGUCUCGCUUCUGCUUCUUGGUCGAUGAGGAAACAGGCCCAGAGACAGCCACGUGCCAGCUCAUUCCCUUCCUGGAUGAAACAUCCCCACAAAAACAUUAAAUGGCAUUUCAUCCCUGGUUUUGUUUGUUUUCUUUCUUUUGGUCUUUUUAGGGCUGUACCCGCGGCAUAUAGAGGUUCCCAGGCCUGGGGUUGAAUCAGAGCUGCAGUUGCCUGCCUACACCACAGCCACAGCAACAUGGGAUCCAAGCCACGUCUGCAACCUACACCACAGCUCACGGCGACGCCGGAUCCUUAACCCACUGAGCGAGACCAGGGAUUGAACCCGAAACCAAAUGGUUCCUAGUCAGAUUUGUUUCCACUGUGCCACAACAGGAACUCCGGAUUGUAGGUUUUCAGCCGUAAAUCCUUCAUAUGUCAAGAGGUGUUUCACACUGACGCCUGAAAUUAGAAGAUGGGCAGGUAAGGAAGCAGGUGGCCGAGGGGCAUAUCUUGAAGGGCGAGUCCAAUCCUGUCCCACUGGUUGUGCGACCUUGGAUGAGACAUUCUAAUCCCUGGACCCCUGAUUAGUCACCUGGGGAGUAGGGUGACUUCCCCUGACCUUGCGCGGUGACCUUGACGGUGAAAGCAAUACACAGAGGCAGGAGUUGGUGAACGUGAUUGCGGUUUUCACGGGAAGGGUGAUUUUUCUAAAGCAUGCAGAGAAUCAAGUUACUCCUUUUUUGAAAAUGCUACAGGGGUUUUCCAGGGUCCUCAUUCCUCCGUGCAUUUAUUCAACACAUAUUGAGCAUCUGGCAUGUGCCAGGCGCUGUUUUAGGCACCAGGGAUACAGCGAGGAACAAGACGAAACCCCGGUCUUGUGCUUACGAGAGACGUAAACUGGUCAGAUUCCUUCGUUAGGAUGAAGGCACUGCUUCAGGCUUUGCUAGCAUAUUCCCAGGAUGACCUUGGAGAAAAGAGGUUUGUACCAGGUCCCACCGUCUCCAGAGCCACGCCCAAGGCCACCUCUCCCUCCACCCUCAUCCGCACUUGAUUACUAGCUGGAUUUCUAAAAGCACCAACACGUGGAGUUCCCACUGUGCCUCAGCGGUAAUGAAUCCGA